RNAcentral lists this ribosomal RNA (373 nucleotides) under uncultured organism. RNAcentral describes it as "partial 16S ribosomal RNA". It matches the Rfam family "Bacterial small subunit ribosomal RNA", at positions 527 to 896 of the family's 1533-position model. The record is from RNAcentral.
GUAGGUGGCAAGCGUUGUCCGGAAUUAUUGGGCGUAAAGCGCGCGCAGGCGGUUCUUUAAGUCUGAUGUGAAAGCCCACGGCUCAACCGUGGAGGGUCAUUGGAAACUGGAGAACUUGAGUACAGAAGAGGAAAGCGGAAUUCCACGUGUAGCGGUGAAAUGCGUAGAGAUGUGGAGGAACACGAGUGGCGAAGGCGGCUUUCUGGUCUGUAACUGACGCUGAGGCGCGAAAGCGUGGGGAGCAAACAGGAUUAGAUACCCUGGUAGUCCACGCCGUAAACGAUGAGUGCUAAGUGUUAGGGGGUUUCCGCCCCCCUUAGUGCUGCAGCUAACGCAUUAAGCACUCCGCCCUGGGAGUACGGCCGCAAGGCUG